RNAcentral lists this ribosomal RNA (244 nucleotides) under uncultured Pseudomonas sp. RNAcentral describes it as "partial 16S ribosomal RNA". It matches the Rfam family "Bacterial small subunit ribosomal RNA", at positions 109 to 354 of the family's 1533-position model. Lineage: Bacteria; Pseudomonadati; Pseudomonadota; Gammaproteobacteria; Pseudomonadales; Pseudomonadaceae. The record is from RNAcentral.
AGUAAUGCCUAGGAAUCUGCCUGGUAGUGGGGGACGAACGUUUCGAAAGGAACGCUAAUACCGCAUACGUCCUACGGGAGAAAGCAGGGACCUUCGGGCCUUGCGCUAUCAGAUGAGCCUAGGUCGGAUUAGCUAGUUGGUGAGGUAAUGGCUCACCAAGGCGACGAUCCGUAACUGGUCUGAGAGGAUGAUCAGUCACACUGGAACUGAGACACGGUCCAGACUCCUACGGGAGGCAGCAGGU